RNAcentral lists this ribosomal RNA (473 nucleotides) under Babelomurex bernardi. RNAcentral's name for it is "partial 12S ribosomal RNA". The record is from RNAcentral. Lineage: Eukaryota; Metazoa; Mollusca; Gastropoda; Neogastropoda; Muricidae.
CUAGGUUUGCUCUCAAAAUAGUAUUAUAAAGUAAAAUUUGAAUAUAGUUUUAAAACCUUAGAAGCUUUGUCCGAAGCUAUGAAAUCCUUGAGGGAAACUGGGAUUAGAUACCCCAUUAUUCUAGGAUAUAAAACUUUUACCAGGGCACUACGAACAAUGUUUAAAACCCAAAGAGCUUGGCGGUAUUUUAGACCCCCCAGGGGAACCUGUCUCAUAAUCGAUGAUCCACGUUAUACCUGACCUUAUUUAGUUUGUUUGUAUACCGUCGUCGUCAGGUAACUUCCAAAAAGAAAAAAGUUAGCAAGUAACACAAAAGUGUUUGACGUCAGAUCAAGGUGCAGCUUAUAAUAGGGGGAGGAUGGGUUACAAUUAUUAAAUUAUAAAUAUGAAUAAGGUUAGUUGAAAAUUUCUUUGAAGGCGGACUUGGAAGUAAAAAUAUUUAGAUAUAUGCUUUGAAUAAGGCUCUGAAAUGU